UACGUAGGGGGCAAGCGUUGUCCGGAUUUAUUGGGCGUAAAGAGCGUGUAGGCGGCUUGGUAGGUCCGCUGUGAAAACUCGAGGCUCAACCUCGAGAUGUCGGCGGAAACCAUUUGGCUAGAGUCCGGAAGAGGAGAAUGGAAUUCCCGGUGUAGCGGUGAAAUGCGCAGAUAUCGGGAAGAACACCCGUGGCGAAGGCGGUUCUCUGGGACGGUACUGACGCUGAGACGCGAAAGCGUGGGGAGCGAACAGG
RNAcentral lists this ribosomal RNA (253 nucleotides) under uncultured bacterium. Its description in RNAcentral is "partial 16S ribosomal RNA". It matches the Rfam family "Bacterial small subunit ribosomal RNA", at positions 524 to 776 of the family's 1533-position model. The record is from RNAcentral.